Molecule: ribosomal RNA, 669 nt
Filed under: Klebsiella planticola
Lineage: Bacteria; Pseudomonadati; Pseudomonadota; Gammaproteobacteria; Enterobacterales; Enterobacteriaceae
Description: Raoultella planticola partial 16S rRNA
Source: RNAcentral
UGAGCGUCAGUCUUUGUCCAGGGGGCCGCCUUCGCCACCGGUAUUCCUCCAGAUCUCUACGCAUUUCACCGCUACACCUGGAAUUCUACCCCCCUCUACAAGACUCAAGCUUGCCAGUUUCAAAUGCAGUUCCCAGGUUGAGCCCGGGGAUUUCACAUCUGACUUAACAAACCGCCUGCGUGCGCUUUACGCCCAGUAAUUCCGAUUAACGCUUGCACCCUCCGUAUUACCGCGGCUGCUGGCACGGAGUUAGCCGGUGCUUCUUCUGCGAGUAACGUCAAUCGCUAAGGUUAUUAACCUUAACGCCUUCCUCCUCGCUGAAAGUACUUUACAACCCGAAGGCCUUCUUCAUACACGCGGCAUGGCUGCAUCAGGCUUGCGCCCAUUGUGCAAUAUUCCCCACUGCUGCCUCCCGUAGGAGUCUGGACCGUGUCUCAGUUCCAGUGUGGCUGGUCAUCCUCUCAGACCAGCUAGGGAUCGUCGCCUAGGUGAGCCAUUACCCCACCUACUAGCUAAUCCCAUCUGGGCACAUCUGAUGGCAUGAGGCCCGAAGGUCCCCCACUUUGGUCUUGCGACGUUAUGCGGUAUUAGCUACCGUUUCCAGUAGUUAUCCCCCUCCAUCAGGCAGUUUCCCAGACAUUACUCACCCGUCCGCCGCUCGUCACCCGA